UACGGAGGGUGCGAGCGUUGUCCGGAAUCAUUGGGCGUAAAGGGCGCGUAGGUGGCCCGGUCAGUUCGUGGUGAAAGCGCGGGGCUCAACCCUGCGUCGGCCAUGAAUACUGCCGCGGCUGGAGCACUGUAGAGGCAGGCGGAAUUCCGGGUGUAGCGGUGGAAUACGUAGAGAUCCGGAAGAACACCGGUGGCGAAGGCGGCCUGCUGGGCAGUGCUGACACUGAGGCGCGGACAGCGUGGGGAGCAAACAGG
This 254-nucleotide ribosomal RNA is filed under the name uncultured bacterium. RNAcentral describes it as "partial 16S ribosomal RNA". It matches the Rfam family "Bacterial small subunit ribosomal RNA", at positions 524 to 776 of the family's 1533-position model. The record is from RNAcentral.